Molecule: transfer RNA, 63 nt
Filed under: bovine gut metagenome
Rfam family: tRNA
About the family: Transfer RNA (tRNA) molecules are approximately 80 nucleotides in length. Their secondary structure includes four short double-helical elements and three loops (D, anti-codon, and T loops).
Source: RNAcentral
CAUAGCUCAGUUGGAUAGAGCAUCUGCCUUCUAAGCAGAGUGUCGUAGGUUCGACUCCUACUG